This 474-nucleotide ribosomal RNA is filed under the name uncultured bacterium. Its description in RNAcentral is "bacterial SSU rRNA". It matches the Rfam family "Bacterial small subunit ribosomal RNA", at positions 335 to 799 of the family's 1533-position model. The record is from RNAcentral.
ACUCCUACGGGAGGCAGCAGUGGGGAAUAUUGCACAAUGGGCGCAAGCCUGAUGCAGCCAUGCCGUGUGUGUGAAGAAGGCCUUCGGGUUGUAAAGCACUUUCAGUCGUGAGGAAGGUAGUGUAGUUAAUAGCUGCAUUAUUUGACGUUAGCGACAGAAGAAGCACCGGCUAACUCCGUGCCAGCAGCCGCGGUAAUACGGAGGGUGCGAGCGUUAAUCGGAAUUACUGGGCGUAAAGCGCAUGCAGGUGGUUUGUUAAGUCAGAUGUGAAAGCCCGGGGCUCAACCUCGGAAUUGCAUUUGAAACUGGCAGACUAGAGUACUGUAGAGGGGGGUAGAAUUUCAGGUGUAGCGGUGAAAUGCGUAGAGAUCUGAAGGAAUACCGGUGGCGAAAGGCGGCCCCCUGGACAGAUACUGACACUCAGAUGCGAAAGCGUGGGGAGCAAACAGGAUUAGAUACCCUGGUAGGAUAGCG